GAUGAACGCUGGCGGCGUGCCUAACACAUGCAAGUCGAACGGUGAAGCGCCUUCCUUUCUGGUGGGUGUUGAUGAGCGGCGAACGGGUGAGUAACACGUUAGUAACCUUCCCCCUUCUUCUUGAUAACCGCAUGCAAGUGCUGCUACUACGGGAUAUUCUGGAUCUGUCGCAUGAUGGGUCUGGGACAGUUUUUGUUUCGGUUGUGGAUGGGCCCGCGGUCUAUCAGCUUGUUGGUGGGGUGAUGGCUUACCAAGGCGGCGACGAGUAGCCGGCCUGAGAGGGUGGGCGGGCACAGAGGGACGGCACGGCCGAGAAGACUACGGCGGGAGGCAGCAGGGGGGAAUAUUGAACGGGGGGAGGAAGGAUGGAGCAGCGACGCGGCGGGGAGGAUGGUGGCCGUCGGGUAGAAAACCUCUAUCGCCAGUGAAGAAAUGCGGAAUCAAUUGUGGAUAGGUUGACGGUAGCUGGAGAGGAAGCGACGGCUAACUACGUG
This 494-nucleotide ribosomal RNA is filed under the name uncultured bacterium. RNAcentral describes it as "partial 16S ribosomal RNA". It matches the Rfam family "Bacterial small subunit ribosomal RNA", at positions 28 to 507 of the family's 1533-position model. The record is from RNAcentral.